GGGGAAGCCGGUCGAAGUCCGGCGCUGACCCGCAACGGUAGGCGGAAGGUCUCCUUCCGCAAGCCCGACUGCCC
This is a non-coding RNA of Streptomyces decoyicus, 74 nucleotides long. The record is from Rfam. Lineage: Bacteria; Bacillati; Actinomycetota; Actinomycetes; Kitasatosporales; Streptomycetaceae.